Small nucleolar RNA from Plectropomus leopardus (leopard coralgrouper), 138 nucleotides. RefSeq annotates it as small nucleolar RNA SNORA79. NCBI's taxonomy places the organism in Eukaryota, Metazoa, Chordata, Actinopteri, Perciformes, Serranidae. The record is from RefSeq and is a predicted model, not a curated record.
UGACGUCGGUUCCUCCUCCUGACUGCAGCCAAUCAGGAGGAUUUUACGAGGUCACAGAGAACUUUGAGUCCGUUUCACCCAGCGAGCUUCAGGCUGCGGCCGACUCACAGCUUCCUGGUUUUGCGGGACUCGACAAAA